UACCUACAACAUAGCGUUAAUGCACUAGAUCUCAUUAGAACUUUGUAGUUAAGCACACUCGACCUAGAGUAGUACUGGGAUGGGUGACCACACGGGAAGUCCUAGUAUUUUACAUGC
Non-coding RNA from Picea glauca (white spruce), 117 nucleotides. The record is from Rfam. NCBI's taxonomy places the organism in Eukaryota, Viridiplantae, Streptophyta, Pinopsida, Pinales, Pinaceae.